UACAGAAGCACCUGCACAAACUCUUCACC
This 29-nucleotide non-coding RNA is filed under the name Mus musculus (house mouse). The record is from RNAcentral. Lineage: Eukaryota; Metazoa; Chordata; Mammalia; Rodentia; Muridae.